This 243-nucleotide ribosomal RNA is filed under the name uncultured bacterium. Its description in RNAcentral is "partial 16S ribosomal RNA". It matches the Rfam family "Bacterial small subunit ribosomal RNA", at positions 91 to 334 of the family's 1533-position model. The record is from RNAcentral.
UAAAGUGGCGAACGGCUGAGUAACACGUGGGCAACCUGCCCCUCUCAUUGGGAUAGCCACGGGAAACCGUGGAUAAUACCGAAUACUUCGAGACUUCCGCAUGGAAGACUCGAGAAAGCCCCGGCGGAGAGGGAUGGGCCCGCGGCCUGUUAGCUUGUUGGUGGGGUAACGGCCUACCAAGGCAAUGAUGGGUAGCUGGGUUGAGAGACCGACCAGCCAGAUUGGGACUGAGACACGGCCCAG